RNAcentral lists this unclassified non-coding RNA (176 nucleotides) under Claviceps purpurea (ergot fungus). Its description in RNAcentral is "ITS1". The record is from RNAcentral. Lineage: Eukaryota; Fungi; Ascomycota; Sordariomycetes; Hypocreales; Clavicipitaceae.
CCGAGUUUACAACUCCCAAACCCACUGUGAACUUAUACCCAAAACGUUGCCUCGGCGGGCACAGCGGUACCCGAGCCCCCCGCAAGGGAGGCAGAGGCGCCCGCCCGCCAGGGGACCAAAACUCUUCUGUAUACCCAUAGCGGCAUGUCUGAGUGGAUUUACAAACAAAUGAAUCA